AGCGAACGCUGGCGGCGUACUUAACACAUGCAAGUCGAACGGGGAUCGUCGGUGUAGCAAUACAUCGGCGGUUCUAGUGGCGUACGGGUGAGUAACACGUGGGUAACCUGCCCUUGAGUUCGGGAUACCCUCUCGAAAGGGAGGCUAAUACCGGAUACGUUCCUCGGGUUGCGAAAUCUGGGGAGGAAAGGUGGCGCAAGCUGCCGCUCUUGGAGGGACUCGCGGCCUAUCAGCUAGUUGGUGCGGUCACGGCGCACCAAGGCGACGACGGGUAGCUGGUCUGAGAGGAUGGCCAGCCACAUUGGGACUGAGAAACGGCCCAGACUCCUACGGGAGGCAGCAGUGGGGAAUCUUGCGCAAUGGGCGAAAGCCUGACGCAGCGACGCCGCGUGGGGGAUGACGGGUUUCGGCUUGUAAACCCCUGUUGCCCGGGACGAACUUCUGCUUUCGAGCAGAUUGACGGUACCGGGUGAGGAAGCACCGGCUAACUCUGUGC
Molecule: ribosomal RNA, 496 nt
Filed under: uncultured bacterium
Lineage: Bacteria
Description: bacterial SSU rRNA
Rfam family: Bacterial small subunit ribosomal RNA
Source: RNAcentral